Molecule: ribosomal RNA, 469 nt
Filed under: uncultured bacterium
Lineage: Bacteria
Description: bacterial SSU rRNA
Rfam family: Bacterial small subunit ribosomal RNA
Source: RNAcentral
AGCGAACGUUUGCGGCGGGCCUAACACAUGCAAGUCGAACGCACUAGCAAUAGUGAGUGGCGCACGGGUGCGUAACACGUGGGUAAUCAACCCUUCAGCCUGGGAUAACGACUCGAAAGGGUCGCUAAUACCGGAUACGGCGCGAGAGGCUUCGGCUUCUCACGAGAAAGCCACGCAAGGGGCACUGAAGGACGAGCCUGCGGCCCAUCAACUAGUUGGUGAGGUAAGAGCUCACCAAGGCUAAGACGGGUAGCUGGUCUGAGAGGAUGAUCAGCCACACUGGAACUGAGACACGGUCCAGACUCCUACGGGAGGCAGCAGUGGGGAAUAUUGCGCAAUGGGCGAAAGCCUGACGCAGCCACGCCGCGUGAGCGAUGAAGGCCUCGGUCGUAAGACUCUGUGGGAGGAGACGAAGAAAGACCUGUGAAGAGCAGGCCGUUGACGGUAGUCUCCUUAGUCAAGCACCGGC